Molecule: long non-coding RNA, 129 nt
Organism: Thalassophryne amazonica
Lineage: Eukaryota; Metazoa; Chordata; Actinopteri; Batrachoidiformes; Batrachoididae
Exons: 3
Source: RefSeq, a predicted model, not a curated record
AGGAUCCUCUGAAGAGACCUAGCUGGUCCCAAAGACGUCCAGUCAACACCUUAGGUUACUGGUUACAGUCCAAGUCUCACAACCAUACAGUAAGACUGGAUGCACUUGGAGCCUUAAGACUUGGACCUU